AUGCUCUGUUGUAUUACCAGCUCCUAGAAACCCAUGACACCAGGCAUACUUUCCUCUUGAGUCACAUGAAUGUCUGCAUUGUGUAAUAUCCUGCCUCUAUUAAACUUCUGUUUUCAGCUUGCCUCAUGAGAAUUUAGUUGCCUGUGGUACCUUGUUGUAGUAAAUUAGAGCUAACUGGUGGGACGUGGCUACUGCUCUCUCUCACACACACACACACAAUCAUCAUCUCUGUGAAUCUCCAGGAGGAUCUGGGAGAUUUUCUACAAGCAAGAAGGAAACCAGGUGCACACGUCCUCCAGAACCGUUCUUCUUUCCUGCUGAAGGUGAACAUGUCUUUUGUACUCACACGGCAGACUAAGAUGGCCACUUGCGGGUCAUGUUUCUGGUGCAUCAUAUGGCUCAUUGUUCUGCUGUUCAUUGGCUGGCCCAUCAGCAUCGCUUUAGGGGGUCUCUACGGCCUCAUCAGCCCCCUCACCACCUGCCUUGGCCUGGACCGACUGUCUGACUUACUCCUGGAGGGAGCUAAUGUGGGCAGAACCUGUGCCAAUAACAUGAGGCACAGCAAGCCUUUGUGUUGAAAUCCAUCCUGUCUGAUCAGGACCAGAAAAAACAGAGGUCGAAGCCUUCACCUCAGGAAGAACUGUUAAUGUCUGAUUUAUGUGGAGCUAUUCCAGCACGACUGGUGCACAAUUCCCUGAGAAACCUUCCAGCAACUUAUGUCACAAUAAGGUCCAGAAAGUCCUGGAAAAUUGAUUCCUCUCUCACUGGUAACAUGUAAUUAAUCACAGAUUUUAAAUUUGCAUGGGUUUGUCAGGAAGAAAAUAGGCUUGCAGUUCAUGGUCUGUGUUUGCUGUUUAAUUCACAAUGACGCUGCGUGGAGACGAUAAGAACGAAAAUGCCAAUUUAACAAUGAAAAUAUUUAGACUUGGUAAUGUCUGUAUGGAAAUAUAUGGAAAUGCGAUUAAAACUGCUUUGAACUUGCCCUUCGUGUUUGUUAAUUGACUUUUGGUGCACGUAUUCUGAGGAAAAUCCAUCCCGUGAAAUACUGAAAGUAAAUGGGGAGAAAGAGA
Long non-coding RNA from Oreochromis aureus, 1070 nucleotides. The record is from Ensembl. Lineage: Eukaryota; Metazoa; Chordata; Actinopteri; Cichliformes; Cichlidae.